GGAGAUGUAGUUCAAUGGCACAGCACCUGCCUGGUAAGCACGAGGUCCUGAGUUCAAUUCCCAGUACCA
RNAcentral lists this transfer RNA (69 nucleotides) under Heterocephalus glaber (naked mole-rat). It matches the Rfam family "tRNA". Rfam says of the family: Transfer RNA (tRNA) molecules are approximately 80 nucleotides in length. Their secondary structure includes four short double-helical elements and three loops (D, anti-codon, and T loops). The record is from Rfam by way of RNAcentral. Lineage: Eukaryota; Metazoa; Chordata; Mammalia; Rodentia; Bathyergidae.